This 812-nucleotide long non-coding RNA is filed under the name Fukomys damarensis (Damara mole-rat). RNAcentral describes it as "lncRNA (ENSFDAG00000023280.1)". Lineage: Eukaryota; Metazoa; Chordata; Mammalia; Rodentia; Bathyergidae. The record is from RNAcentral.
CUUGUUUAUUGUCACAGAGCUAAUAAUUAGCAGAUCCAGGGCUCCUGGGUGGAUGAUCUUUGUAAUGCACAACUCUGCCUACAACCAGCAGGGCCAUGAACCCCGGAAAGCAGCAAUUAGGCAUGCUUGGGAACAGUGUGAAUGAACAUGGAGCUGGGGGCCCUCCCUGGUAAGACAGAAUUUGUCCUGGGAAUGACAGUAACCAAGAGAUUUCAAUCAAAUAAAAAGGAGAGAGGGGAGGAUAUUCUGGAAAUAAAGGAACCUAGUGAAAAAGGUCACAGAGCAGGGUAAGAGGAGCAGACAAACAGCUAGUCUGCUCAGCUGAUGAAGAUGCCUCCCUCUUCCUCCCUGAGAAGCUGAGAUAAACAGGAAGGAGAGGCCUGAGUGUCUCCCACAGAUAAACAGGCUCCACCCAGAGCCAACAGUGCCUGUGUCUGGGACAGAGUGGGAGAGGACAGAAGUGCUCCUCCUCCAAGAACAUGGAAGUGGGCCUGGGAAGAGGGGAGGCCGUUUCCUCAAUCCCAGCCCUUAGCACCAGCACCUAGAGCUGAACCAGGAAGAUCCUGGGAGCUAAAGACAGACAGAUGCUUCUCUCUCCUCCUCCUUCUUCAAUAUACUUCAGGAUGGUGGGAACAAAAGCAGGCCGGAGCCAAGGGAACCGAGCCAGGCCAGAGGAAUGGAUCCAUCCUCCUGCCAGGAGGUCAGUGGGCUCCUAGGCAGCCCUGGGUGUUUCCCCUCCAGCUCUGAAGCCCCAGGAACACUCACUACUUUAUCCUCACCCAGGCAGGAGCCUCCUCAUCUCCCAGGGGUCU